GAGUUUGAUCCUGGCUCAGGACGAACGCUGGCGGCGUGCUUAACACAUGCAAGUCGAGCGAUGAAGCUCCUUCGGGAGUGGAUUAGCGGCGGACGGGUGAGUAACACGUGGGUAACCUGCCUCAUAGAGGGGAAUAGCCUUUCGAAAGGAAGAUUAAUACCGCAUAAGAUUGUAGUACCGCAUGGUACAGCAAUUAAAGGAGUAAUCCGCUAUGAGAUGGACCCGCGUCGCAUUAGCUAGUUGGUGAGGUAACGGCUCACCAAGGCGACGAUGCGCAGCCGACCUGAGAGGGUGAUCGGCCACAUUGGGACUGAGACACGGCCCAGACUCCUACGGGAGGCAGCAGUGGGGAAUAUUGCACAAUGGGGGAAACCCUGAUGCAGCAACGCCGCGUGAGUGAUGACGGUCUUCGGAUUGUAAAGCUCUGUCUUUAGGGACGAUAAUGACGGUACCUAAGGAGGAAGCCACGGCUAACUACGUGCCAGCAGCCGCGGUAAUACGUAGGUGGCAAGCGUUG
Molecule: ribosomal RNA, 517 nt
Filed under: uncultured bacterium
Lineage: Bacteria
Description: bacterial SSU rRNA
Rfam family: Bacterial small subunit ribosomal RNA
Source: RNAcentral